GAAAUGCGAUACUUGGUGUGAAUUGCAGAAUCCCGUGAACCAUUGAGUCUUUGAACGCAAGUUGCGCCCCAAGCCGUCAGGCCGAGGGCACGCCUGCCUGGGUGUCACGCAUCGUUGCCCCCCACCGUCUACAGACGUGUGCGGGGAGCGGGGAUUGGCCUCCCGUGAGGGUGUUCCCUCGCGGUUGGCCCAAACACAGGUCCCGGCCGAGGAAGCCGCGACUUUCGGUGGUUGUUAACAAACAGACAUGCCUUGUCGUGCUCUCCUCGUGCCUUUUGCGGCACCCUCGACCCUAAGAAGGGCCAGUGCACUCUUUGAGUCAGUUGCGCUCGCUUUGCGACCCCAGGUCAGGCGGGACUACCCGCUGAGUUUAAGC
This 376-nucleotide unclassified non-coding RNA is filed under the name plant metagenome. RNAcentral describes it as "partial contains 5.8S ribosomal RNA, internal transcribed spacer 2, and large subunit ribosomal RNA". The stretch from base 1 to 107 matches the Rfam family "5.8S ribosomal RNA", at positions 50 to 154 of the family's 154-position model. The record is from RNAcentral.